This 2384-nucleotide long non-coding RNA is filed under the name Zea mays. Its description in RNAcentral is "long non-coding RNA (ZMAY_LNC001069)". The record is from RNAcentral. Lineage: Eukaryota; Viridiplantae; Streptophyta; Magnoliopsida; Poales; Poaceae.
UCUCAUGAAAAUAAAAGAUAAAUAUAAAGCAAACUAAGGUCCAUCCUUGGCGCCAUAAAGUCGACUGGGAGACGCCACCUAGAUCAAGUCGAACUCCUCGUUGUGCGGCUCCUCCUGGGCCACCUGUUCUUCUCCUGUGGGGGGGGGGUUUAUAUCGCAAGUGUGAGCUCACAAAUGAUCAUAGAUCAACAAGUCGUGGGUAAUAAUGUGCAUGAACUCACCAAAGGUGGGAGCUCAUGUGAUGUGUAAGGCUGAUCAACAAUAGGGGUUAAAGCUGAGCAUUGCUUUUAAUAAGUUGGUCAAAUUUUAUUAGCAAUUACUAGAUGUAAGUAAAUACCAAACCAUAAUAGAAAUAAUAGAACAAAAUUAAUAAUAAAUCUCAUGCAAUGCAAAUGACAAAUUGAAUUUAGUUUCAUAGUUUAAUCAUGCGAGAGUCCUGAGCUGCUCAUGAUCACGAGCACGGCUAGUAUACCAGUUUUACACUCUGCAGAGGUUGUACCCUGUACCCACAAGUCAUGUCACCCAUCUGCCAAGGGAUUGCGACUCCCAUACACCUCUACCAAGGAAGCGAGGCAGGGUAACACUACGAGGCCUUUACAAAGUUCCACUAGCUUUAGAAAACUCGCUACAGUUUCUAAGAAGAGCAAUGCAGGAAUCCCCCGUUUGACCGCCAUCGCAGUAAAAUCAACCAGGAAACCUCCCUACACGCCUACUCCCCUACUACCCUUGCCCCUCUCGGGUAAGGUAGUCCUCCACUAGCUUUCGUAGUUAGUCAGCAAGGGCGUCCCAUUCCAUCCUUGUGGUGGCACGUGUUUCUCAAGUUAAGCUCCAUGUUCCAAUUAAAAAUAAUGAUCUUGACAUGAACAAUAAAUAAAAUUACAGUAUAAUUGGAACAUGUGCAUAAUGUAAUAUUAAACCUAAACCAUAUAGAGAAAUAGCAUAACUAUCCAAAUGAUUCAGGGGUAAACAAGGUAAAAAGAUAAGCAGACUAGGGUGACCUAUUGGGUCCCAUCAAAAUUAAACCUAUGCAUGAAUAAGUGACAAUAAAGAACAUUAUUGGGUAAUGAAAGUGGUCAAGGGCAUAACUUGCCUUCAAUGAGCUCCUACUCAGCAACUUCUACCUGCUGAACACCCGGAUCCUCAGCCACUAGCUCUUCUACUCGCCACAAUACAAACAAGCAUAGUACAAAGAGGAAAUUAACAUCACACCAAACAUGUAUACAAAAUACAUAUUAAUAAUCUACAUAUUAAAAUGAGAUCAUAGAAAAAAAAAUCAUUAAAUUUGGAGUUAUGGAUUUUAAGUUAUGAAUUUCUAAAGGUUUUAUAUGUUUGGUACAAGAUUAAUUAAGAGAUCAAUUUUAAUACAAUUUUCAUGUUAAAACAGUGUCACAAUGUCAUAGUCCAUAUUAAUACAAAAUUAUAGGAACUGGAAUGAACCAAUUUGGACUUAGUAUGAAUUUUCUAGGAAUUAAAUAAGUUUCUGCAAUUAUUUCUAUAUUCACAAAUCAAUUUAUAAAUAAUUUCUCUGAUUUACCUAGUCACUAGAAUGCGCGCGUGAAUAAAAAAACCCAGGGGCUAGCGUGUAAAGUACCCAAGACUCAGUCCACACCCAGGUGGACUGCGGGUUGAAACCUAAAUACCUCGGGGGCUCUUAUUCAAAAUUUCCAGACCGAGCGCUUAUGGGUUCUCCACACCGUCCUAUCAAAGUCACACGACGCAGAUUAGAUCACAUUAUAAACGAAGCGGUACGCGUCUCACAGCAGUUGGAUUAUGGAUCAGCGGCGCCGAUUUUAUAACUGAAGGGUGACAUUCUGAUCUAAUCUCAUCCCUCGAUCCUACGAUCUACGGACUAAUAUGGUCCAACCGAAUCGGUACGCAGUGUGUAAUCACCGCCGUCCAUUCUUAGAUCGAUGGCCACCGCACUGUCGUCUCCCUCCUGCCGGUAUGCAUACGCGCCGCCCCCAACACUCACCGACGUUCCGCCGCGGCAAGCGAUUCCACGACCCGGCCCUCUACUUCGACCCCCGAUUUAUGAAAACUACUGCGGAUAUGGUGAGGAAGGUACUAGGCUAGGACGUACCGGUUAAUUUGGUGCCCAAAACAGCCGGCCACGGCCGACCACAAAUCCGCCGCGUGAAUUACUCCGGCGACGAAUUAACUGUAUUCUGAAGACCGACACUCAUGGCGGCUAGACUACUGAAGACCCGCGUGCUUCCGCGAACCCCAAUUGUGACUUCCCCGAACCAGGACGGCGGCGUUCCGAGGAAAUGACGCGGCAGCUACCCUCUUUCUCUCUCUCUCUCUCUCUCUUCGCUGUCUCUCUACUGAUGCGGAUAGCAGUGACCUAGGGGUCUCAUGGGUCUAGGAUUUAGAUGCGCAGGGUC